This is a non-coding RNA of Podarcis lilfordi (Lilford's wall lizard), 75 nucleotides long. NCBI's taxonomy places the organism in Eukaryota, Metazoa, Chordata, Lepidosauria, Squamata, Lacertidae. The record is from the annotation of a GenBank genome assembly.
GGCAUAGCUCAGUGGUAGAGCACCUGCACCUGUCUUACAAGUAAAAGGUCCCAGGUUCCACCCCUGGCAUCUCCA